RNAcentral lists this ribosomal RNA (484 nucleotides) under uncultured bacterium. Its description in RNAcentral is "partial 16S ribosomal RNA". It matches the Rfam family "Bacterial small subunit ribosomal RNA", at positions 899 to 1397 of the family's 1533-position model. The record is from RNAcentral.
ACUCAAAUGAAUUGACGGGGGCCCGCACAAGCAGCGGAGCGUGUGGAUUAAUUCGAUGCAACGCGAAGCACCUUACCCAGGCUGGACAGGGCGGUGGUACCGAUCCGAAAGGGGAGGGACCCGCGAGGGAGCCGUCUCAGGUGCUGCAUGGCUGUCGUCAGCUCGUGCCGUGAGGUGUUGGGUUCAGUCCCGCAACGAGCGCAACCCCCGGCCCCAGUUGCGUUGUCUGGGGCGACUGCCGGGCGAACCCCGGAGGAAGGCGGGGACGACGUCAAGUCCGCAUGGCCCUUACGUCUGGGGCGUCACACACGCUACAAUGGCCGGUACAGCGGGUUGCUUCCCGGCGACGGGUGGCCAAUCCCUCAAACCCGGCCUCAGUCCGGAUGGCAGGCUGCAACUCGCCUGCCUGAAGUCGGAGUUGCUAGUAACCGCGCGUCAGCACAGUGCGGUGAAUGCGUUCCCGGGCCUUGUACACACCGCCCGU